UGCAGUUGCAGUGAGAAACUAAGUGAGAGAGGAGGUGGCUUCGUGGGUUUUCUAGGAAAGCUUUGGGUUGUUGGGUUUUUGCAGAUUCACAGCGGAGGUGAAAAAUUGAGAGAGAACUGACAUAGCUUUUCGUGUCGAUUCCCACAGACGGCGCCAAAUGUUGAUGCACAAAACUUGAGGUCUUGGAACAACGUAAAUCCGACCGUGAACCUGCAAGUAAUGUAAAUAACACAAGAUGUAUCGUGGUUCACCCCAAGGUUUGGGCUACGUACACACUGAUUGUAUUGUAUUUCUCUGAGAAGUGAGGGAGAGAGAGAGCACUGAGAGUGAGAGCGUUAAGAGGGUCAGGAGCCUUAGGAAUUGGCCUCCCCUAAUUAUGAGGGUGAGGGGUCCUUUUAUAGAAUAAGGACUGCUCACUUAUUACAUAUUUGCCCCUUUCUUUAUUACAUAAUUACAUUUAAGUCCCCUGAGUAUUUAUACGAGGUCUAAAUACGAGGCCUUAAAUAUGGUAUAAACACAAGACAAUCUAUGGGAUUAUGGUACCAAGUCCGGAAACUAAAGCCUUCAGCUUUUCUUUGUCAAGUUUUGGAUAGCAUUUGCAAAUAUAUAGGUAAAUAAAUACAUAACGGAUAUAAAUUGAUUGAUUUUAAGCUAUUUGAUCUCGGUCUUUAAAUCAAAUAGCACCACCCACUAUUUUUGGCAAAUUCCAUAUCCCUCAUCGGAAUUCAAGAGUUUUGGAGGAAACUCUUAGUAGGGUAUGGGGGACUCACUAUUACCAAGCCCACCUCACAAUGAUAUGAUGUUGGCUAGCAACAAUAAUAAUGAGAGAGUACACUUACUCAUUUACAUCUCAUGUAAGUACCCAUCUUAUUUGGCCUCUAGAGAAUGAUGCCUCACAAUGAUAUGAUGUAGGCUCCAUUUCACUUAGUUAAGUCAUUCCCACCAUGCAAGUUCGGGUAGGGAUUCAAGAACAACCUCACAAUGAUAUGAUGUUGAUCAUUCUCGUUGCCUACCUUCACAACAUCAUGUAUGUGUAUAGAACUCCUCUUGAGUGUAAGCACUCAUUUUGUACUCCCUCAUGAUAAGGUGAAGUCGGUGUACGAGUCACAAACGAUCGGAACCUACCACGGUGGAAGGCCAUGAAAAAGUGUUCAAAGGACUCUCACGCUUGUCAACUUAAUAAUUGUUUGGUUGAGGGUGUUUAUGUUGGAAGUAUGCCUACAAAAUCACUUAUUUGAUGUAAUAGCUUUUGGAAUACUUAUUGUGUUAAACUAUUAUAUGUUUAAUGAAGGGCAAAUCUUAUUGUUAAUCACUAUUUAUUGUAUUAUGUAUUUAAGCAAUAAGGGAAUCCAAGGAAUGUAUUUAAUCUAAGAGAGAAGUGAUCUAAGUAAGUUAGAAUCACGAGACAUUUCUCUUAUGUUCAUUCCUAAAAUGUUCCUAGCCAUAGGAUUGCCAAUUGGGCAUUGACAAUCCGCUAAGGUUAGUAUGUGUUAUGUUAACUCAAGCAUGAGUACAACCAGUCUCAAGUCAUUUAGUGUUGGACACUGAGACAAACAUAUAGGUGCUCAAAAGGUAAUUGAGUACACUGAACAAUGAUAAAAAAAGAGUUCGAACAUACAUGUCAUGUAAGAACUCAUAAGUUGCAACAUGCAAAGUAAUCCUUUGACUUAAGGCAUCAUAGAUGUCUAAUGGUUAGGUCCUUGAUCUUUGAUCAUGUCAAAGGCAUUCCUUCGAGAGUGUCCAUGGCAUUGUUGGGGUCAAGCUAUCUAGUCAUGUAGGCAUAUGAAGGCACAACAAGGGAUAUCUAACCUUCAAUGAUGGAGGGAGAAUACUUUGAGAUAUGAUUUGGGUUUCUUUGGCCAAAGCAUAAGAAUAUGACUUAGGAAGAUUGUUCCAAAUCAUAUUCAAUUGAAUCAUAUAGAGAAGUAUCACAUUGGAUAAUAGACAUGAAACAAACUAUCACUCAAAUAAUGUGAUUAAGAGUAUUGUAUUAGCGAAGGACCGUAUUGUAUUGUACUUGUAAUUCGAUAGGUUCUCCAACCACUUCUACUUAGCCUGGGUAGCCAUGACAUACUACUAGGUGUCACUCAUGGUUUGUGGAAGCCCUGAGGAUUAACAAACACUAAUCUUCAUCAAAGGGAGAAUUGAAAUGUAGUUUCAAUUCACAAUCGAUCGUUAAGAGUAACAAUCGCCUACUGCCUUGCUAAUUGGAACCUAAUGGAUCGUACACCGAGUAAGGAUGAAAGUGAAGAAAUAUAUAUGAGAUGGAUAAGCAAUUAAAUAGUUUAAUUGAGAAUGGUCAAGAUUAAUUGAUUAGUUAAUUAAUCUUACGAAAGGUUCGUAUUGGGCUUUUAAGUUGGUUUUGGGUUUCAGGGCCCAAAAGGGUUUUUGGUCCACAAGGCCCAUUGAGUUUAGGUUGUGUGACAACUAAAACUAAAUGGAAAUUAACCCAAAAACAAAGUCAAAACCGGCAUAUUAGCAUGCAUUUUAAUCACAUUAAAACAAUUUGGUCCUAUUACAACUAUUGGUCCAUAUGAUUGAUUUAGUAGUAUAUAAUACUCCCAGUAUGCUUGUAAAACGGUUUUUAAAGCAAGAGUACAUGGUACUACUAACAUAAGCUUUGCAUUCUUUGAUGGACUAUAUAGUUGCCUUAGGGCCUUAGGAUGAUUAUGAUCCUUUGAUUCGAUCCAACAUGAGCCUAAUGUUUGAUCUCGGUCUAGGAAUGGUGAUUGAUUUUAGUUACGCGUUUAAUCACAUUAAGGCGUGUUUUUUUAUUGGGCGUUGGACCCUACUACUCCAAUUUCAUGCAUAUCAAAUAAAAAAAGAAAAGGAGUACUUCAAAGUAAAGAAGAGCAUAUGCUCUUUUACAACAUUUCAUCAAAACAAAUUGCUUUAAAGUAAAGAAGAGCUUAUGCUCUUUUACAACAUUUGAUCAUAUCAAAUUACAACCAAAAUCUAACUACACAUUCCCAUGGUUCAAACAAAUUUGAGAGACGGUCUUUCACAUAGCUCAAUUAUCGUAGGCUUAGAUUCAUAAUCACCCUUUCUUUAAUUAAUUAAUGCUUUAACUAAUUAAACUUGAAUGCAACAUUGUCAUUUGGUUUUUGUAUCCAUAGAAUUGAUUUAGAUGGAGCAGAAUGAAAUGAAAAUCCAAUUCUCAUUUAAAGAUACAAAAUUAUUUUGUUCUCAACUAAUUUGGGCCAAAAAGCAAUAACCUCAACCAUUGGGCUAUAUUGGAAAACACAAACUUUUGAGGUCACUUUGUAAAAACACAAAAGUCCACUACUUCAUGUAAUUACAACUAGAACCCAAAAAUUUCAACAAAUGCAAAAACUUAAUUAAAGGAGCAAAACAAUUUGUCCUUCAGUGAUUUUGAGCCUUUACGUAAAAAUGUAAACUUUCGGGUUAAAGUGAAAAUACACAAAAGUAUUAAAACUUUAUGUAAUUGCAUAAAAGUCCCAUAAGUACCCUACUUUAAUAGGGUGGCCGGAUAUGGUAGUGUUAGUGGAGGGGUUGGUUUUUGUUGAAAAAGUAAAGUCAUAAAGUAUGGUUGAAAAAGUGAUUGGUAUGGUGUUGAAAAAAUAGGUAUGGGUGUCCAAUUGAAAAAGUCAUACCAUCCAUCACAAAACAAGACUUUAUGUAAACAACCAAAAAUUUUGAAUCAAAAUUCCCAACCUUUUUGUUCUUGUCAAGAACAUAACAAGAACAAUGAAGAACAUCCAUGAAAACCCAUAAUAGCUCCAUGAACAUUUUUCACCCAAAGACACCCCAAAAAUUCUCAAACUUAAGGGAAAUAACAUAUUACCAUACUGGGUUCCAAAAGUCACUUUAAAACACUUUUAACAAGACAAACAUGAACCCAAAAAUCCACCGUUUGGAUUUGGCCGAAUUUCCCCAAAAACAUGGCACCAAAUUUGAGCUCCUAAAUUCAUACUCGUAUGAACUACAUUUACAAUAUUUGAGAUGACAAAUUUUAUAGCAAAAUUUACAUUCAAAGAAGCAAGAAUAAAGUUUGUAACAAUUACAACAUUUAAACCAAAGACUACGAACUACAAAACCCAAAAGGAUUCACCAACUACUAGACCUAGGCUCUCAUACCACAUGAAGGAAAUAUUUGUGAAAACUAGUUCAUUUGAGCAACAUCUACAACAUGCAAUUAACAAUUAAAGGCGGAAUCAUGCUUUUAUGCACCCAAAAACAAAACUUUACCCAUGAAAUUCAAGGCCUAGUGAGUGUUGAGAAAUAUUAUACCAUUGUUGAUUCCUCUUUGCAUAGCAAAGGCUAAUCACCCAAGAGAUAGGGCCUUCAUUCCUUACUUCUUAGCUCCAUGGUUCUUGGAUGAGGAUGGUAGAAUGGAUUCUCCAAGUUCCCAAAAUAGAGAACCUCUAAGUCUCCACACCAAGGAGAGCAUUGAUGAAGAGAUGAGUGACCUAGAGGAAGUAAGAUUGCUAGCUAAUUUCCUCUAGGGUGGUCGGCCUCUUAGAGAGAAAAGGAGAGCUUCUAAUCUCUCCAAUUUCCUCAAAGAAAACCCUAAAUGAAUUUUGGCUAUAAAGUUCUUUAUAUGAUCCCUUCACUUAAGUGAGAAAAGAACCAAAACCCUUCAUUCUCUAAUGUGGCCGGCCUUAAGGGUUUAUUGGGCUUUCAAGCCCUUUGUGUAUUCAAGUUGUCAUACAACUUGAGUUAAUGGGCUUGACAUUCAAAUCCCAUUGGGCCUUGCGGCCCAAAACUAACCCGAUGUCUAUAACGAACUUAUUUGUUUGAUUAAUUAACAUAUUAAUUAAUCCUAUCCAUAAAUAAUUAAACCAUUUAAUUAUCCUUACUCAUCUCCGUUUUUCUUCAAUCUCUACCUUACUCGGUGUACGAUCCAUUAGGUUCCUUUUAACGAGGCAAUGGGUCAUUAGAACUCUUCAAAUGGAUUGUGAAUUGAAACUUACUUUCAAUUCUCCCUUUAGUGAUUACUCACGUUUAGGGCUUCCACAAACCAUGAGUAACUCCUAGCGGUAUGUCAUGGCUACCUAAGCUAAUCAGAAGAGGUGGAGAACCUAUUCAGUUUAGGAUUACAAUGCAAUACGGUCUUUCUCUAAUACAAUACUCUUGACCACAUUAUUUGGUUUGAUAGUUUAUUCUUGUCUACUAUCCAAUGUGAUUCUCUUUCUUAAAUGAUGCCUUGAAAGUAAUUUGGAACAACUUCCUAAAUCUCAUUCAUACUCUGGCCAGAGAUUCUUAAUCAUAUCAUGGAGUAUUCUCCCUCAAACGGUUUAAAGGUUAGAGAUCCCUUGUUGCGCAUUCACUUGCCUCCAUGGAUAAGUGGCUUAACCCCAACUAUGUUGUGGACACCCUUUGACUUAGUGACUUUGACAUAGUCAAAGAUUAAGGACCUAACCACAAGACAACUAUGAUGCCUCAGGUCAAAGGACUACUUUGCAUUAUCCUAACCAUGAGUUCUCCUUGUUGAUCGUGUUUAGUGGACUCAUUUUCUAUCUUGCACCUACAUGCUUGUCUUGGUGUCAGUCACACCAAUGACUCGAGACUAGUCACUCUCCCUAAGAGAAGAUAUAGCACGUACUGAUCUUAACGGACUGUCAAUGCCCAAUUGGCAAUCCUAUGAUCAAGAACAUUUAGGAUAUGUAUACGAAAUAGAAUGGUCUCAUGAAUCUAACUUCUUUAGAUCACAUUCUCCCAAUUACAUAUUCCUUGGACUUGUCAUUUAAGCAUAUAAUAUUUAUAUGAGAGGGCUUAAAACAAUAAUCUUUGCCCAUUAUAUUAAACUAGAUUAGUUUAACAUGUGAAAUGUUCGUAAAGUAUCAUCAUAUGUUUGGUUUUAGGGCACAUUUCCAACAACCUUGGGCCUAUAUAGCUAAGCCCAAACAGAACCAGGCCCAAACCCAAUCCUAAAACUGGCUUAUGCACCGAUUGGAAGUGAUCUAGUCGUCCCUAGUUCGAGUGCCUCUCCGAUAGAGGAAUAUUUAUGAGUGGACCCCUUCUUAACUUAUAUGUUUUUAUAAAUAUUAGCCUAGUGUGCAUUUCAUAUUUCAUGAUUUAAGUGUGUUAUAAUAUGCUUAUGGAUUUCUAUAAUUAUGGUUUACGAAAUACUCCUGAUUUAUCGAGAUUACGUUUUACGAAUGGAUAUGAAUUAUUGGAUUUGCGUAUAUGGAUUUCGAACAUGAUUUAUAUUGUGGAUUUACGAGUAUGAUUUAUCAUGGAUUUAUGAGAAGAGACUUUAAGCUUGUGAGCUCUGGAUUUGAUACGAGUUUUGAGAUAUGUUUUUGGUACUUAUCUAGUGGGUUAUCAUACGGCACAUACACACACCACGAGUAUAACGUCUAUGGCCAUAGGACACAGAGGAGGAGUAGUGAGAUAUAUAUAUACCCCCAGCUUCACUGUCGAAAGUAGUGUCGGACAACUUCACUAGCCAUGGCUAGUGUCAGUGUGUAUGUAUGCUUUUUUAUUCAGCUUCACCUUUGUGUGAUGGACAAGUACUGCCUUUGGGUGACUAUGAUACCCCUAGAGAGUGCAGAAUGGAUGAGAUUUACAGAUUUGCCUUCGGGCGACGACAUUUUUAUUACCGAGCACUGGAUUUACGUACUUCCCAUAUACAUGGUUUUUCAUGGCAUGCUAGGGUUUUCAGAAAACGUAUUAUGUAGUAUUUAUUGUAUGUGUUGUCAAAGCAGGGGUUAUUAUGUUCAGAAACAAAAUGUUUUCCUAUUAUAGUAUUAUUAUUAAAACUUUGGUCCACUCACUUUUU
RNAcentral lists this long non-coding RNA (6745 nucleotides) under Malus domestica (apple). RNAcentral's name for it is "long non-coding RNA (MDOM_LNC000036)". The record is from RNAcentral. Lineage: Eukaryota; Viridiplantae; Streptophyta; Magnoliopsida; Rosales; Rosaceae.